RNAcentral lists this non-coding RNA (28 nucleotides) under Cricetulus griseus (Chinese hamster). Lineage: Eukaryota; Metazoa; Chordata; Mammalia; Rodentia; Cricetidae. The record is from RNAcentral.
GCGAGUUCUCGUCAGAAAGACCACUGGG